UGAGGAAUAUUGGUCAAUGGGCGAGAGCCUGAACCAGCCAAGUAGCGUGCAGGAUGACGGCCCUAUGGGUUGUAAACUGCUUUUAUGUGGGGAUAAAGUGCGUGACGUGUCAUGCAUUGCAGGUACCACAUGAAUAAGGACCGGCUAAUUCCGUGCCAGCAGCCGCGGUAAUACGGAAGGUCCGGUCGUUAUCCGGAUUUAUUGGGUUUAAAGGGAGCGUAGGCUGUCUAUUAAGCGUGUUGUGAAAUAUACCGGCUCAACCGGUGGCUUGCAGCGCGAACUGGUCGACUUGAGUAUGCAGGAAGUAGGCGGAAUUCAUGGUGUAGCGGUGAAAUGCUUAGAUAUCAUGACGAACUCCGAUUGCGCAGGCAGCUUACUGUAGCAUAACUGACGCUGAUGCUCGAAAGUGCGGGUAUCAAACAGG
RNAcentral lists this ribosomal RNA (424 nucleotides) under Fusobacteriota bacterium. RNAcentral describes it as "Fusobacteria bacterium partial 16S ribosomal RNA". It matches the Rfam family "Bacterial small subunit ribosomal RNA", at positions 355 to 776 of the family's 1533-position model. The record is from RNAcentral. Lineage: Bacteria; Fusobacteriati; Fusobacteriota.